UACGUUUUCUGGUUCUAUAUUUUAG
RNAcentral lists this non-coding RNA (25 nucleotides) under Cricetulus griseus (Chinese hamster). The record is from RNAcentral. Lineage: Eukaryota; Metazoa; Chordata; Mammalia; Rodentia; Cricetidae.